Molecule: ribosomal RNA, 254 nt
Filed under: uncultured bacterium
Lineage: Bacteria
Description: partial 16S ribosomal RNA
Rfam family: Bacterial small subunit ribosomal RNA
Source: RNAcentral
UACAGAGGUCUCAAGCGUUGUUCGGAUUCAUUGGGCGUAAAGGGUGCGUAGGCGGUUCGGCAAGUCGGAUGUGAAAUCUCCACGCUUAACGUGGAGGGGCCAUUCGAAACUGCUGUGACUCGAGUCCGGUAGGGGAGUGUGGAAUUCCCGGUGUAGCGGUGAAAUGCGCAGAUAUCGGGAGGAACACCAGUAGCGAAGGCGGCACUCUGGGCCGGUACUGACGCUGAGGAGCGAAAGCGUGGGGAGCGAACAGG